GUAUUUUGAAUUAAGUAUUCAUAAUAGUUUUUCAGACAAAGUGGUUCAAGGUUAUAGGUUGAUGUUUGGCCGAUCUCCAUAAAGAAGAUCGACUGACAUUGCACACAAGGUGGAUAUGGAUUUAAAAAGUGCCAUAAAACACUUAUUAUGAAUGAUCCUUCCGCAGGUUCACCUACGGAAA
Molecule: unclassified non-coding RNA, 181 nt
Filed under: uncultured fungus
Lineage: Eukaryota; Fungi
Description: sequence contains ITS1, 5.8S rRNA gene
Source: RNAcentral